CACACACACACCCAACUCACUCAUGGUUUGGGCUCUGCUUUCCUGACAAUGUUCUAUUAGUCACUCCCAGCAGCAGAGCCCACAUCAACCUGUCUUGCUGCUUCUCUCCAAGCCCACCCAUGCACAUUUGUCUCCAAGGCACAUAAAGCUGGCUGCGAUAACAUGUACCCUAAAAGCAUAUCCUGACACAGUUCCCACCUUACAGGUGGAACAGCACUGAAAACAUAGCCGUGCUUGAAAACCUACACACAUCUGGUGGCAUGUUAGCUGAUGCUCUUGGCUCCGUGCCUUACUCCCUCACCUGCUUCUGGCUGCUGCAAACAGGGAGGCAAAACUCCCGUGAUCACUGUGCAGGUGAUUAGAGGAAAUUGCAUUGCUGAAGCGCUCGGUGGCUGCAGCCCUGCUUCAGCUCUCAUCUUGCCUGCUGGUAAGCUGCCAGCGAGAGGGAAGUGUAGGCAUAAAAUGAAUAGCAGAAGAGAUUGCAGGUAAUUAUGUUUCUUAAGCUGUUAACAGGAUUGGCCAUUUGAUAAAUGAGAGGAUUUGGGAAUGUUUUGUCACUGACAAGCCAUUGUAAGAUCAGAGUGGAAACAGGAAUGUUUCUCUUCCACAGCACGAACGAGAGGGGAAUUCUCUCGGGACACUUAUACUGUGAAAUUCAGCUGAAACCUGGAUGCCAGAGCAGAGAGGAGAAAGGACAGAUACAGGACUUCUCUUAUGCAUGUCACUCCUUUGGUUUUGCAGCUCCUCCAGAGCCCUCUUUGGUGUCCCCAGAGACUUUUGUCCUUUUAUGGUGCCAUCCACAUCCCCACAUGUAGUUUUUGGUGCCCCCAGGGUGCUAGGUCUUUGUCUUCAUGCCCCAAAUCCCUCUGGUUCUCUCGACCUUUUGGUUUGCUUUUGCAGUUCUCCAGCUUGCUGGAGAAACAAGAAGGAAAUCAGCACUGUUGUUUGUCCUUCUGCUCCAACAGUGCUCCUCUGGGGGGUUCUCUGUGCCCCCAGAGCCCCUCUGUUUCCUUUCUAGUGCUUUCCAGGACUUCAGUGUGCCUCUUGGGUCACCCUAAAGCUUUUCAUCUGCCUUUUGGUACCUUUCCUACAAAUCCCAGCCUGCUUUCAAUGGCCCUCAGCACCCUCCAUUUCUUUCUGUGUGUGUCCACUGAAGCCCCCCAGGGGCAUCCAUCUACUUUCUGGUGUCUCCCCCACUCAAGUCCCCCCAUUUGCUUUGAUACCCUCACGAGCCCUCCAUGGGUGUCACCCCUAAGAAUGCACACAAGGCUGCUCUGGUUUGAAGGGAUUUACCCUACAGUGAGGAAAGUGGUGUCAGCGGUGAACUGCAUGGUGAAAAAUCAUGUUAAAAAUCUUCUCAGAUGUCAGCAACAUGUGGCCAGUGGCUCCAGGAUGCUUCUAUGGAUGCAGUCCUCUGCUGUGACCCCUUGGAGUCCUUCAUCCUACUUGGCAUGGACCCUGCUUUCAUUGCAGACCCUGACACUGGAGGGCAGAGAAGAAGAUAAGGAAAGAACAAAUACAACUCCCUAAAACUGAUCUCUUCUACUGCUUCUCCUCGGGGUUUCACCAGGGCUGCCUCUGUCAGCCAGGACACCCUCCCUGCAGGAUCAGAGCCCGAGGCAGCCCCUGCCCAUGUGUGGCAGCAGAGGAGUGGAACACCCCCCAAAAUCUCCAUUUCAGCUUUUCAUCUCUUUGCUUUACCUGGUUCUUAGCAGCUACAGCCAGAUUACUAGUAUUGUUUAGGUUUCCCUGCAGUUAUCAGCAGGGAAGGGUUGCUGCUAGAAGCUGUGCCCCUCGUAUAUCAUUUUUCCAGCAGAUCGCAAGCAGAGCUGGAGGAGACACACUCCCUGCUUCAGUCCUGACAACAGUCUGGAGCAAGGGUUGGGUGCCCAAGGAAGGAUAAGAUGGGAAGCAAUUAAGCUGCCUUCCUUUCCUUGCAGCAUGUCCUACACUAGACAAGCAAUAAUAGAAAUUCAGGAAGACAGAAGAGAUGCGCACCCUGCCUCACUUUCUUCCCAGAGACUGGAGAGGCAGCCCCCUAUCCAGUGCACUUGCGUGAGGAAGAAGCUUUCCUGCCCUUGCCUGGCUGCAGCUCCCAGCAGGCACUGGCAGCCUGCACCUGAGGAGUGUUUAUGAAGCACAUUGCAACAAAGGCUGGAGUCCUACAAGAGCUGUGUUUGUUGGAGUCUUGAUAAAAUGGAGUACGGCACAAGCUGGGCUGAAGGGAGCAUUGGUGAAGAAGGAGAAGCAGCCCCUUCUCGCACUGCAAAGAAAUAGGAGCUGUUGCAGAAGGACAACUACAGCUUUUGGCUGCCCUCUUUUAGCUUCACAAACACAGCAAUGAGCUUUUCCUGAUGCAGGUGCUGUGGGGCAAGCUGGGGAUCAGGAGCAAGGCAAGGCCUGCUUUUGUGAUAUGUUAGCAAGGAUUAAGUAAAACAAGCACCAAACCAAAAGUCACCUUGUCCGUUGUGCCUUGCUCCACCUUCUGUUUCCAAGAGCAAAACCAACCCAGCACGAUGCUCUCAUGCCUGAUUCCUGCUCAGCAUUUCCUGUGGCGCGGCUCCCCAGUGAGGGCUGCAGGGAGCAGAGCAAGCUGGCAAACACUGGCCCCUCCUCCUGUGGCAGCUCCUCGAGGCGUAAAUGAAGGCAAAAUCCAGUUCUUUCUACUUCAAAUAGUCUCUGGAAAACAAGAUCACUAACUCCUUGCAGCUUCAGCUGAAGUCUAAAAUGGUGGCCUCAAGCGGCUGGUAGAGGGGUGGACAAGAGGUGAAAAAGCAGUUAUUCUUAGCAGCAAGCAUCUAGGAAAAGAAAAUAUGGGUUUUAACAGAAAAAAACAUAGCAGGAUAGGCACUCCCAACAUUUCCA
Gallus gallus (chicken) is the source of this 2865-nucleotide long non-coding RNA. The record is from Ensembl. Lineage: Eukaryota; Metazoa; Chordata; Aves; Galliformes; Phasianidae.